AGCGAACGCUGGCGGCAGGCCUAACACAUGCAAGUCGAACGAACCUUUCGGGGUUAGUGGCGGACGGGUGAGUAACACGUGGGAACGUGCCUUUAGGUUCGGAAUAACUCAGGGAAACUUGUGCUAAUACCGAAUGUGCCCUUCGGGGGAAAGAUUUAUCGCCUUUAGAGCGGCCCGCGUCUGAUUAGCUAGUUGGUUGAGGUAAUGGCUCACCAAGGCGACGAUCAGUAGCUGGUCUGAGAGGAUGAUCAGCCACAUUGGGACUGAGACACGGCCCAAACUCCUACGGGAGGCAGCAGUGGGGAAUCUUGCGCAAUGGGCGAAAGCCUGACGCAGCCAUGCUGCGUGAAUGAUGAAGGUCUUAGGAUUGUAAAAUUCUUUCACCGGGGACGAUAAUGACGGUACCCGGAGAAGAAGCCCCGGCUAACUUCGUG
Molecule: ribosomal RNA, 434 nt
Filed under: uncultured bacterium
Lineage: Bacteria
Description: partial 16S ribosomal RNA
Rfam family: Bacterial small subunit ribosomal RNA
Source: RNAcentral